UGCCUAAGACAUGCAAGUCGAACGAGGGGACCAAGGAUGAUUAUGGAAGUUGGAGUGCUGCACAAAGACCGGAAUAAUUGAGAUGGAUUUCCCUAGUGGCAAACGGGUGAGUAACACGUGGGUUACUACCUCUAAGUUGGGGAUAACAGUUGGAAACGAUUGCUAAUACCGAAUGUGCUCUACGGAGUAAAGGAGCUUUCAAGCUUCGCUUAGAGAUGGGCCUGCGGUGUAUUAGCUAGUUGGUGAGGUAAUGGCCCACCAAGGCUGCGAUACAUAGCCGAACUGAGAGGUUAAUCGGCCACAUUGGGACUGAGACACGGCCCAAACUCCUACGGGAGACAGCAGUUAGGAAUAUUCGUCAAUGGGGGAAACCCUGAACGAGCGAUGCCGCGUGAAUGAUGACAGCCCUUCGGGUUGUAAAAAUUCUGUUGUUUGGAAAGAACGAAGAGAUUAGGAAAUGAUUCUCUUUUGACGGUACCAUUCAAGAAAGCUCCGGCUAACUACGUGCCAGCCGCCGC
RNAcentral lists this ribosomal RNA (518 nucleotides) under uncultured bacterium. RNAcentral describes it as "bacterial SSU rRNA". It matches the Rfam family "Bacterial small subunit ribosomal RNA", at positions 45 to 518 of the family's 1533-position model. The record is from RNAcentral.